This 253-nucleotide ribosomal RNA is filed under the name uncultured bacterium. RNAcentral's name for it is "partial 16S ribosomal RNA". It matches the Rfam family "Bacterial small subunit ribosomal RNA", at positions 524 to 776 of the family's 1533-position model. The record is from RNAcentral.
UACGUAGGGUGCGAGCGUUGUCCGGAAUUAUUGGGCGUAAAGGGCUCGUAGGCGGUUUGUCGCGUCGGGAGUGAAAAUCCAGGGCUUAACUCUGGACUGGCUUUCGAUACGGGCAGACUAGAGGUAUGCAGGGGAGAACGGAAUUCCUGGUGUAGCGGUGAAAUGCGCAGAUAUCAGGAGGAACACCGGUGGCGAAGGCGGUUCUCUGGGCAUUACCUGACGUUGAGGAGCGAAAGUGUGGGGAGCGAACAGG